Molecule: non-coding RNA, 1504 nt
Organism: Podarcis lilfordi (Lilford's wall lizard)
Lineage: Eukaryota; Metazoa; Chordata; Lepidosauria; Squamata; Lacertidae
Source: the annotation of a GenBank genome assembly
UUGAGGGAUUAUUUAUUUAUUUAUUUAUAUUGCCCUUUAUUUUACAUCACUGUAAAUUAUUAAAUAAUAAAAAAUAGUGUUUGUUAUUUAGAUCAAUCAAUAUAGCUCAUUGGGCAGAGCACAAGACUCUUAAUCUCAGGGCCAUCCUUUGAGCCCCAUGUUCCCAGGGUUCCCUGGCAAGAAGGGAACUCUACCCCUAACAAAAUCCUAACCCUAACCCAGGGCCAUGGGCCAGAUCACUCCCACAGAAAUCACAUCUGUGCGUGUCUGCGGCUCUGGAAAUUGCUUCUGCGCAUGCCCAGACGCUGAAAAUCACUGGGACAGCUCAGUCUGCAGAGCAGGAGACUUUCCAUCUCAAAGUCCUGGGUUUGAGGGGCAAAAAGAUUCUUCCCUUGCAGAGGGUUGGACUACAAAAGGACCUUUGCUUUCCUGCUCUCUCCCAAACUGGGAAACUCCCAAUGGAAAGUGCUCUGACCUUUCUCUUUUUCUUCAUAGGGGUUUUCACACCGUACAGUAUCUGCUCUCUGACCGGGCUUGGUUUAAAAGCCUCCAAGUAUUCCUUGGAUCGAGCAGUGCUAAUAUUUGCUCUGCUAAUCUUUCCACCAAAGCUGGCUGGCUUCUGGAUUAAACACUGGAUUACGUUCUGUAUUUAAAACAAAUGUCAAAUCAAUCAAAAAAUUUCAAGAGAAAUGCUAAAAAUAUACUUGAGACGAGACAAUUUAAGGAAAAUUCACCAGAAAGUAUUCCUCUUUGUUGCGGUUAGUGGCUGUGGACAUGGCAUAACAUUACAGCACAUGACUCCACCCCCGAAGAAUCAUGGGAACUGUAGUUUGCCCCUAAACUAUAAGUCUCAGCACAACACAUGACUGGCUUUUCAUAGAGACCACUUGCAAAAACUUGUGGUGCUAGAAGAUCUUGCGCCUUAUAUUUACCCUGGGAUCCCAACCACCCUUGCCCAGGACACCAGACUCAGCUCUACGGCUGCAAAUAUAAUGUUUGAAGGUGCAUUAUACAAACGUGACACUAGAUGGCAAUUGUGAGGUUAUGGCAAAUUCAAUAUAUUCUUCAAAACACCUUUUUUUUUGAAAAAGUGUUUUCAUUUUUAGAUUCCACCACAGGAACACAGGUUCAACGGAGUUUCUGUCCAUCUGAAGAUCAUAAGGCCUUUUGUGCCUAUAUCAAUCCCUCGGGUGGUAAAAUCAAAGAAGUACAAAAUACUUUACAACUAUAUAUAAAAAUAUAUAUAAAUUCCAGCACACAGAGGAGCCUUUGCUGGAAGGCUGCGGGGCUAUGCCUGGGAAUCAAACUCACUGAACUUCAAAGAACUUCUGAGAGAAUGUGUAUAGGAUUGCACUAUAAAGGCCUAAAAUUUUGACCAAGAUUCAUGGGUUUGAGUCCCAUGUUGCGCGAAAGAUUCCUGCAUGACCCUUGGGGUCCCUUCCAACUCUACAAUUAGCGAAGUAUACAUCAAUAUAAAAUAAAAAUGUGCUUUUAAUGAAAGGGC